This 468-nucleotide ribosomal RNA is filed under the name uncultured bacterium. RNAcentral describes it as "partial 16S ribosomal RNA". It matches the Rfam family "Bacterial small subunit ribosomal RNA", at positions 28 to 507 of the family's 1533-position model. The record is from RNAcentral.
GACGAACGCUGGCGGCGUGCUUAACACUUGCAAGUCGAACGGAAAGGCCCUGCUUUUGUGGGGUGCUCGAGUGGCGAACGGGUGAGUAACACGUGAGUAACCUGCCCUUGACUUUGGGAUAACUUCAGGAAACUGGGGCUAAUACCGGAUAGGAGCUCCUGCUGCAUGGUGGGGGUUGGAAAGUUUCGGCGGUUGGGGAUGGACUCGCGGCUUAUCAGCUUGUUGGUGGGGUAGUGGCUUACCAAGGCUUUGACGGGUAGCCGGCCUGAGAGGGUGACCGGCCACAUUGGGACUGAGAUACGGCCCAGACUCCUACGGGAGGCAGCAGUGGGGAAUAUUGCACAAUGGGCGGAAGCCUGAUGCAGCAACGCCGCGUGCGGGAUGACGGCCUUCGGGUUGUAAACCGAUUUCGCCUGUGACGAAGCGUGAGUGACGGUAAUGGGUAAAGAAGCACCGGCUAACUACGUG